Molecule: long non-coding RNA, 2035 nt
Organism: Mytilus californianus (California mussel)
Lineage: Eukaryota; Metazoa; Mollusca; Bivalvia; Mytilida; Mytilidae
Exons: 3
Source: RefSeq, a predicted model, not a curated record
CAUAACUAUAUGUAAACUGAAACACUUAACAUCAGCACUCGACCGAAAAUUUUACAAUAUUCAAAAGUAGAACUCGGUCCACAAGGACGUGAAAUAUUUUGCAAACAGAAAAUUUAAAUAUUUUCUUUAGCGUCAGUACACUUCUUUCGACAAAAGGGAUUAAAACCUUGUAUUAAUAAUGCUUUUAAUUGUGUUCACGUUGUUGUUCUUUACAGAAGAAUCGUACGGAAUACAGUGUAUACAUUGUACAGACAUUGUGCUGAAUAGUUCUUCUAUCCCAUCUGCAUUUAAAGUUGCAAUGCAGGCAUACAGAACACCAAACUGUGAAAAUGCACACACAGCCUCGACUUCCUCGGGCAUAACAUUGAGUAAUUGCACAGAAGUUGCAAGCUCGGGACAAGUGAACAAAUGUGGAAGACUGGUUGGAUCACUGUUGGUUUCGAGUGGUUAUUCUGUAAAUAGAUUAGAAUUACCUUAUUACUUUCACAUCAGAGGAUGUUUCACCGUAGAUCAGUCAUUAGAAAGAGGAUGCUACCGAAACCGUAGGAUUAUUGAUCAGAAUAGAGGUCAUUUUUCCGAUUACUUUGAAGGAAUGGAUUCCUUGAAACUAGGAGAAUUUAAUGGGGUUCUCUGUAUCAAUGGAGCUAACAACGUGGAUCCAUGGAGGAAAACCAACGUGGCAAUAAGGCAUAGUUAUUGCUUGGUAACUUUAACUGUGUUUGUUAUGGUUUAUUGUUUAUCCUAGACAAAACAAACAAAAACAUAAUUAUUCUGAAUCUAAAAGAAACAGCAAUUUAUGAUAUAUUUUGUUUUCUAUUAGAUUUGUAAUUUGGUACUUCCGUUUAACUUGUAUUCCCCAAAAGUUUGUUUUGUAUUGUACGACAAUGUUGAUUUCAAAAGACAUAGUACUAUAUUGCUUUGAUUGAUUUUACAAUGUUUUAUAUGUCUCUAGAAGUCUGGAGCGUUCAUAUUUUUUUUUAUAGAUUCACACUUCAUGACUGCAAAAGUAUUAUUUUAAAACCAUUAUGACUUUUUUAUAUUUCAUUUUCCUCCUGAAACGAACAACGUCAUGCCAUUAUACAAUAUAAUUCAAGGCGAUGUGAUAUGAUUGUCAAUGGACAACUCUCCACCAGAUACAUAAUGAUAUAAAAGUUAACAGCUAUAGGUCACACAACUGUUGUAAGUAAUGUACUAAACCAGGCCAGAAGCGGCAGCGUAAUUAUUCAGUCAUUCGAACGGGUACCAAUUUACAAAAUUCACUUCAUCGUAUAGCAUUGAUACUAUUUAUAUAUAUAAACUGAAUUAUGGAUUUUUGUUUGUGAUAAAAUCACAAAACUACAAUCAAAUAAUAAUAUAUUACUUUAAAUGUUUAAUUUGUAACUGUUUCUUUCUUCCAUUGUCUCAUAAUGUGUUCUUUCAGGAUUCCAAACUAUAAGUAAAAUUCUUUUCGUUUAUUUUUUGGUCACAAACUAAUUAUGUUUAUAUGACAAUAAUGAUAUUAUAAUGUAUUCUUUUAUACGACGAAAUAACGUCCUCGUGGGUUUCUUUCAUCAUUUAAGGACCUUUAACAACAUUUAUUUUACAAAAAUUCUUUUAAAAGAGAUAGAAUUUUAAAGUGGGUCAUUAAACAAUGAAAAAUAAACAGAUAUUUAUUAAAUAUUUUUUUUAUCACGAAAAAAAAAUCAUCCAACACACAUUCAAAAAUUGAAAAACCGUCUUCACCGACUAUAUCUACUUUUAAUUGAAAACUAAAAUGGAUCUUUAAAUAAAAUGCAUUGAUAUAUUAUAUAUAAUUACAUGUGUAACAUAUUCCCGCUGAAAAUAGUAUUCAUGUAAUACAUGUAGUUAAUUGCUAUGUUUGUAGAAUACAUGUACUACUUUUGACUGAAAACUGUCAUAUCGCCCGAUUCUAUUCUUGGGUAUUGACCGUUCGUGUACAUGUGAUAGUUUUGGAUUUGCUUACACUUUGUUUUGCAAGAAUUUACAUUUAUAUUUAUUGUAUAACAUUAUCCAUAAAAUACUCUUUAGCAUUCAG